GGGAGUCCUGUUGUGGUUGUAAAAGUGACAAAUUGGGAGGGGGGAGAGAGGCGCAACUGCCUAGCAGAGAUGGGUUCCGAAGAAGGGUCCAAGCUCUACAAUGGCCAAGAUCUUCCGACGCUUCCGACGAGAAAGCUGUGCCCAGAUUUCGCCUGAUGAGAACGGCUACAGCUCUACAAAAGAGAAGAGCUUCCGACGAGAAGGCCGCAAGAUUCCGACGACCAAGCUGUGACCAAGAUUUCGCCUGACGAGAAAGAUGGAAGCUCAACAAAAGAGGAGAGAGUGAGGAGUGAGCUGGAUGGAGAGAGUGAAGAGAGAGUGAGACAGAUUUGAAUGGCGAUUGGGAGCUCUGGCUUUGUGCUCAGACUGAGUAGAAUGCGAGCUUAUUUUUCUUUUUUUCGUAAAAGACUGACCUCGCAUUUGUGAAAUGCGAAGUAUCUGAACUCGCAUUUCACAAAUGCGAAGAUCACACUUUUGGAAUUAACUUCAAAAAUCACACCUCUUGUAGAAUAACUUUAUUUUUUCAUCACAACUUAAGAAUUUACUCGUGUCCCGGGGGUGCAGCCACCGGCACUGCCACUACCCGGUUAGCCAUCAGGGCGUUCAUGGUGUCAGCCAGCGACGCUGUGUACGGAACCUCUACUGAUCUUUUCUUGUCAACUAUGAGAUCUUUGACUUUCUUGUCCCCAAAACUUUGAGGCUGAGGCUCGGCACCAGUGUCCUGUGGGUUGAUCUCCGUCUUCUCCCUUGCCAGCUGCAUUGUUCUUGGGUUCUAUUCUUCUUUUCUUGCUUUUGUCCAGAUUUUAGAAACGAGUUCUUUGCUAUAACAUCACUGAAGAAGGUGCGUGGGACUGGGAUUACACAUAUAAUUGUGGAUACGGGAUUUUAUACGGGGAACAGAGGUACACGUGUUGAUGGCGGAGGGUACAUGAGCGUCCUGUGUUUGCAACGUGGUUCC
Molecule: long non-coding RNA, 958 nt
Filed under: Coffea arabica (coffee)
Lineage: Eukaryota; Viridiplantae; Streptophyta; Magnoliopsida; Gentianales; Rubiaceae
Description: long non-coding RNA (CARA_LNC003060)
Source: RNAcentral